GACGUAGGGCGCGAGCGUUGUCCGGAUUUAUUGGGCGUAAAGAGCUCGUAGGCGGCUUGUCGCGUCGUCCGUGAAAACCCGAGGCUCAACCUCGGGUCUGCAGUCGAUACGGGCAAACUAGAGUAUUGCAGGGGAGACUGGAAUUCCUGGUGUAGCGGUGAAAUGCGCAGAUAUCAGGAGGAACACCGGUGGCGAAGGCGGGUCUCUGGGCAAUAACUGACGCUGAGGAGCGAAAGCGUGGGGAGCGAACAGG
This 253-nucleotide ribosomal RNA is filed under the name uncultured bacterium. Its description in RNAcentral is "partial 16S ribosomal RNA". It matches the Rfam family "Bacterial small subunit ribosomal RNA", at positions 524 to 776 of the family's 1533-position model. The record is from RNAcentral.